AAUCCAUAGGUUAAUGAGGCGAACCGGGGGAACUGAAACAUCUAAGUACCCCGAGGAAAAGAAAUCAACCGAGAUUCCCCCAGUAGCGGCGAGCGAACGGGGAGGAGCCCAGAGCCUGAAUCAGCAUGUGUGUUAGUGGAAGCGUCUGGAAAGGCGCGCGAUACAGGGUGACAGCCCCGUACACAAAAGCGCAUGUGCUGUGAGCUCGAUGAGUAGGGCGGGACACGUGGUAUCCUGUCUGAAUAUGGGGGGACCAUCCUCCAAGGCUAAAUACUCCUGACUGACCGAUAGUGAACCAGUACCGUGAGGGAAAGGCGAAAAGAACCCCGGCGAGGGGAGUGAAAAAGAACCUGAAACCGUGUACGUACAAGCAGUGGGAGCACCCUUUGGGUGUGACUGCGUACCUUUUGUAUAAUGGGUCAGCGACUUAUAUUCUGUAGCAAGGUUAACCGAAUAGGGGAGCCGGAGGGAAACCGAGUCUUAACCGGGCGUUAAGUUGCAGGGUAUAGACCCGAAACCCGGUGAUCUAGCCAUGGGCAGGUUGAAGGUUGGGUAACACUAACUGGAGGACCGAACCGACUAAUGUUGAAAAAUUAGCGGAUGACCUGUGGCUGGGGGUGAAAGGCCAAUCAAACCGGGAGAUAGCUGGUUCUCCCCGAAAGCUAUUUAGGUAGCGCCUCGUGAAUUCAUCUCCGGGGGUAGAGCACUGUUUCGGCUAGGGGGCCAUCCCGGCUUACCAACCCGAUGCAAACUGCGAAUACCGGAGAAUGUUAUCACGGGAGACACACGGCGGGUGCUAACGUCCGUCGUGAAGAGGGAAACAACCCAGACCGCCAGCUAAGGUCCCAAAGUCAUGGUUAAGUGGGAAACGAUGUGGGAAGGCCCAGACAGCCAGGAUGUUGGCUUAGAAGCAGCCAUCAUUUAAAGAAAGCGUAAUAGCUCACUGGUCGAGUCGGCCUGCGCGGAAGAUGUAACGGGGCUAAACCAUGCAC
RNAcentral lists this ribosomal RNA (992 nucleotides) under Salmonella enterica subsp. enterica serovar Enteritidis. Its description in RNAcentral is "partial 23S ribosomal RNA". It matches the Rfam family "Bacterial large subunit ribosomal RNA", at positions 161 to 1194 of the family's 2925-position model. Lineage: Bacteria; Pseudomonadati; Pseudomonadota; Gammaproteobacteria; Enterobacterales; Enterobacteriaceae. The record is from RNAcentral.